GACGAACGCUGGCGGCGUGCUUAACACAUGCAAGUCGAACGGAAAGGCCCUGCUUUUGUGGGGUGCUCGAGUGGCGAACGGGUGAGUAACACGUGAGUAACCUGCCCUUGACUUUGGGAUAACUUCAAGAAACUGGGGCUAAUACCGGAUAGGAGCUCCUGCUGCAUGGUGGGGGUUGGAAAGUUUCGGCGGUUGGGGAUGGACUCGCGGCUUAUCAGCUUGUUGGUGGGGUAGUGGCUUACCAAGGCUUUGACGGGUAGCCGGCCUGAGAGGGUGGCCGGCCACAUUGGGACUGAGAUACGGCCCAGACUCCUACGGGAGGCAGCAGUGGGGAAUAUUGCACAAUGGGCGGAAGCCUGAUGCAGCAACGCCGCGUGCGGGAUGACGGCCUUCGGGUUGUAAACCGCUUUCGCCUGUGACGAAGCGUGAGUGACGGUAAUGGGUAAAGAAGCACCGGCUAACUACGUG
RNAcentral lists this ribosomal RNA (468 nucleotides) under uncultured bacterium. RNAcentral describes it as "partial 16S ribosomal RNA". It matches the Rfam family "Bacterial small subunit ribosomal RNA", at positions 28 to 507 of the family's 1533-position model. The record is from RNAcentral.